Molecule: ribosomal RNA, 121 nt
Filed under: Vibrio parahaemolyticus VP232
Lineage: Bacteria; Pseudomonadati; Pseudomonadota; Gammaproteobacteria; Vibrionales; Vibrionaceae
Source: RNAcentral
UGGCGACCAUAGCGUUUUGGACCCACCUGACCUCCAUUCCGAAACUCAGAAGUGGAAACGAAAUAGCGCCGAUGGUUAGUGUGGGGUUUCCCCAUGUGAGAGGUUAGGACAUCGCCAGGCU